Molecule: ribosomal RNA, 497 nt
Filed under: uncultured bacterium
Lineage: Bacteria
Description: partial 16S ribosomal RNA
Rfam family: Bacterial small subunit ribosomal RNA
Source: RNAcentral
GAUGAACGCUGGCGGCGUGCCUAAUACAUGCAAGUCGAGCGAACGGACGAGAAGCUUGCUUCUCUGAUGUUAGCGGCGGACGGGUGAGUAACACGUGGAUAACCUACCUAUAAGACUGGGAUAACUUCGGGAAACCGGAGCUAGUACCGGAUAAUAUUUUGAACCGCAUGGUUCAAAAGUGAAAGACGGUCUUGCUGUCACUUAUAGAUGGAUCCGCGCUGCAUUAGCUAGUUGGUAAGGUAACGGCUUACCAAGGCAACGAUGCAUAGCCGACCUGAGAGGGGGAUCGGCCACACGGGAACUGAGACACGGUCCAGACUCCUACGGGAGGCAGCAGUAGGGAAUGUUCCGCAAUGGGCGAAAGCCUGACGGAGCAACGCCGCGUGAGUGAUGAAGGUCUUCGGAUCGUAAAACUCUGUUAUUAGGGAAGAACAUAUGUGUAAGUAACUGUGCACAUCUUGACGGUACCUAAUCAGAAAGCCACGGCUAACUACGUG